CUGCGGAAGGAUCAUUACCAAACGAUUCUUUGGAUUCAGUUAGUAGCUUUUUGAUGYGGYGCAAGCCAAAUCGAGAAGUAGUUGGUUGACCGUAAUUAGGAGAAAUCCUUCCAGCUGCACUGAUUGGAUUCAGAGUUUAAUCAACCCCCUGUGAACUAUAAACCCGUACUGUUAUUGUCUUUUGGGUGGUACUGAAGCUGUUUACAGUCGAUGUGCUGCCCAGAAGCGAUAGCGCUUUAUUGAACUACUAAACGAAUUAUAUCYAUACGCAAAAUCUCUUUAUUAUUUAAUAAUAAUAAUUGACAACUUUUAACAGUGGAUCUCUAGGCUCGUGGAUCGAUGAAGAGCGCAGCAAAAUGCGAUACGUAAUGUGAAUUGCAGAAUUCAGUGAAUCAUCGAAUCCUUGAACGCAAAUUGCGGUGUYGGGUAUUCCCGGCACCAUGCUUGGUUGAGUGUCACUUAAUCUAACAAAAUUCAAUUUAUUUUGGGUAUUGUUACAGAUGAGGUUACGAGGCGUCUAUUUAAUAGAACUUCGAACCUUUAAUGACUAGCAAGACGCAUGACUUUUGAAGUUCAUUGCAGCUACUUGUGUGGCAAUAUUGUUUCGACAAUUUAAAGCGCAUSUUGGCUCAGUGGAUGUUAAUUCUUAAAUCAUUGCUGUUCUUACAAAUCUGACUCUAUAUGUCUUCGGACUUAGAAUUUUGACCUCAGCUCAAGCAA
This 720-nucleotide ribosomal RNA is filed under the name Sphaeroforma tapetis. RNAcentral describes it as "eukaryotic LSU rRNA". The stretch from base 305 to 458 matches the Rfam family "5.8S ribosomal RNA". Lineage: Eukaryota; Ichthyosporea; Ichthyophonida. The record is from RNAcentral.